CGUAGGUGGCAAGCGUUGUCCGGAAUUAUUGGGCGUAAAGCGCGCGCAGGCGGUUCCAUAAGUCUGAUGUGAAAGCCCCCGGCUCAACCGGGGAGGGUCAUUGGAAACUGGGGAACCUGAGUGCAGAAGAGAAGAGCGGAAUUCCACGUGUAGCGGUGAAAUGCGUAGAGAUGUGGAGGAACACCAGUGGCGAAGGCGGCUCUUUGGUCUGUAACUGACGCUGAGGCGCGAAAGCGUGGGGAGCAAACAGGAUUAGAUACCCUGGUAGUCCACGCCGUGAACGAUGAGUGCUAAGUGUUAGAGGGUUUCCGCCCUUUAGUGCUGCAGCUAGCGCAUUAAGCACUCCGCCUGGGGAGUACGGCCGCAAGGCUG
This 372-nucleotide ribosomal RNA is filed under the name uncultured organism. RNAcentral's name for it is "bacterial SSU rRNA". It matches the Rfam family "Bacterial small subunit ribosomal RNA", at positions 526 to 896 of the family's 1533-position model. The record is from RNAcentral.